Molecule: ribosomal RNA, 502 nt
Filed under: uncultured bacterium
Lineage: Bacteria
Description: partial 16S ribosomal RNA
Rfam family: Bacterial small subunit ribosomal RNA
Source: RNAcentral
AUUGAACGCUGGCGGAAUGCUUUACACAUGCAAGUCGAACGGCAGCACGGGUGCCUGCACCUGGUGGCGAGUGGCGAACGGGUGAGUAAUACAUCGGAACGUACCCAGUCGUGGGGGAUAACGUAGCGAAAGUUACGCUAAUACCGCAUACGUCCUGAGGGAGAAAGCGGGGGACCGUAAGGCCUCGCGCGAUUGGAGCGGCCGAUGGCGGUUUAGCUAGUUGGUGGGGUAAAGGCCUACCAAGGCGACGAUCCGUAGCGGGUCUGAGAGGACGGCCCGCCACACUGGAACUGAGACGCGGUCCAGACUCCUACGGGAGGCAGCAGUGGGGAAUUUUGGACAAUGGGCGAAAGCCUGAUCCAGCCAUUCCGCGUGAGUGAAGAAGGCCUUCGGGUUGUAAAGCUCUUUCGGCAGGGAAGAAACGGCUUGGGAUAAUACCCCGGGCUAAUGACGGUACCUGAAGAAGAAGCACCGGCUAACUACGUGCCAGCCGCCGCAGUAA